RNAcentral lists this long non-coding RNA (1063 nucleotides) under Macaca fascicularis (crab-eating macaque). RNAcentral's name for it is "lncRNA (ENSMFAG00000052147.1)". The record is from RNAcentral. Lineage: Eukaryota; Metazoa; Chordata; Mammalia; Primates; Cercopithecidae.
GCUCCUCCCGUCCUUCCAAGCAUUCCUAGGGAGAGGAUUUAGGGGAAGCCCUCUUGAAAGACUGUAGAAUAACCCAGAACUGCAGAAGAGCCUUGUCAGCAAGAGUGACCCGGGAGAUGGGCAAUGCAGGACCGGGAAUUUGAGGUUAAGGAUGAUCACCAAGGUCAUUCCGAGCACCUCGAUGUCUGCAGCAAAGCCGUGUCAUCAUGCCGGGAGGGCAGGAGCCGCUUAUAAGCUACAGAAACUUAAGUGACUUUGAAACGAGAUAGCCUCAGGGGACAGCCCAGGUGCCUCUUUCCUAGACCUGUGCGUUUGCAGAGAUGCAGCUACCGUUCUGUCCCAGCCUUCUUUCCUGUCCUGUUCUCUCCUGGUGAUUGUCGGCUCCAUGGUGGCACCUGAAGUUUAUCCCGUUGCCACCUGAAAAUGACAGAGUACUUACAUGGAAAAUCUAUCUGCAGUUUAACUCAGCAUCCAAAGAUCAAAGCCGCCCUCACUCUCCUCAGGACGUAAAAAGAGAAAACGUGUGCAGUGACGACCAGCGGAACGGAAGGAGCACUGGAUUGAGAUUUAGGAGGCCUGGCUCCUACGCCUUGCAGUUUCUUCAUGCCAUGUGCAAGGUGGUAACCACUCUGCCUGUUUUCUCACCAUCAGAUAAUACCUACCUCCCAGGACUGUUGAGAAAUACUGAGUAUACUGAGAAAAUAAAUAAAUAAAAACUGGAAGAGUUCUUGUAGGUGUGAAUGCUUUCUUCGUUUUCUUUUCUUUUUUUCAAGUGACGAGGAGAAAAAAGAAACGGGAAUUAUCCUCUUUUAAGUCCAGAACACAUGCAUUCAACCACUCAAAUAUUUGGUGCCAUGCUAAAAGAAAGGUAAUGGAGAUGAGGAGGAGAAGAGUUUUGUUUAUUUAUUUAUUUAUACUGAGUCUUGUUCUCUCGCCCAGGCUGGAGUCCAGUGGCACAAUCUCGGCUCAUUGCAACCUCUGCCUUCCAGGUUCAAGCGAUUCUCGUGCCUCAGCCUCCUGAGUAACUGGGAUUACAGGUGCCCACCACCACGCCCAACAAAUU